CAGUCGCCGCGGUAAUACAGAGGGUGCGAGCGUUAAUCGGAAUUACUGGGCGUAAAGCGUGCGCAGGCGGUUAUAUAAGACAGAUGUGAAAUCCCCGGGCUCAACCUGGGAACUGCAUUUGUGACUGUAUAGCUAGAGUACGGCAGAGGGGGAUGGAAUUCCGCGUGUAGCAGUGAAAUGCGUAGAUAUGCGGAGGAACACCGAUGGCGAAGGCAAUCCCCUGGGCCUGUACUGACGCUCAUGCACGAAAGCGUGGGGAGCAAACAGGAUUAGAUACCCCAGUAGUCCCUGUCUCUUAUAC
This 301-nucleotide ribosomal RNA is filed under the name uncultured bacterium. Its description in RNAcentral is "partial 16S ribosomal RNA". It matches the Rfam family "Bacterial small subunit ribosomal RNA", at positions 509 to 807 of the family's 1533-position model. The record is from RNAcentral.